GCUGAAGGAAAAACAAAAUAUGUCAUACGUCCGUAUACUCCUAUAUCAGACCCAGAUGCUAAGGGAUAUUUUGACCUAUUAAUUAAGGUUUAUCCUGAGGGAAAAAUGAGUCAGCAUUUUGCCAGCUUAAAGCCUGGCGAUGUUGUUGAAGUUAAAGGGCCCAUUGAAAAGAUCAGAUAUUCUCCCAAUAUGAAGAAACACAUUGGCAUGAUUGCAGGUGGAACAGGCAUUACUCCAAUGCUUCAAGUAAUUGAGGCUAUCCUUAAGAAUCCC
RNAcentral lists this unclassified non-coding RNA (273 nucleotides) under Hevea brasiliensis (rubber tree). The record is from RNAcentral. Lineage: Eukaryota; Viridiplantae; Streptophyta; Magnoliopsida; Malpighiales; Euphorbiaceae.